Echinops telfairi (small Madagascar hedgehog) is the source of this 1960-nucleotide long non-coding RNA. RefSeq lists it as uncharacterized. The transcript has 3 exons. NCBI's taxonomy places the organism in Eukaryota, Metazoa, Chordata, Mammalia, Afrosoricida, Tenrecidae. The record is from RefSeq and is a predicted model, not a curated record.
GGGCCUGGCGGAGGGCUGUGGAGUGAAGGAGGCAGGGGUGGCACCCUUAGCAGUGCGCCCUAAGUGUUUGGCCAUUGCUGGAUAUAAGGGCGGAGGAAGGGGGCCCUGACAUGCUGCCUCCGGUAACCCACGCAGCAAACAGAGUUGGAGGACUGGCGACCGGUGGCUCCCAGGGGUGGACUGGGACAGCUCUCGGAGACGUCGACGAGGCCGGGAGGGUGCCCAGCAGGACCUGCCAAGACCUAGGAGCACCUGGAAAUGAGAUCCGCAGCAUUAAGGCGGCAACUAGGCCCUAGUGACUGGCAGUCAGCAAACACCCUGUACUAACCACGGAGUAAUUCUUCCCGAAGAGCCCGGGAAAGAGAUGCUAAUUUGCAAGCGCGUGGAACUAACAUUUAACCUGGGCCUGCGGUGCACCAGACACGGAGCUGAGCACCUGGGCAACGACUCUGCUAAUAGUGAAACAAUGAAGGCAAUAAAGGAUGAUGAUCCUUUCCAGAAGAAGUCUUCGCAGUGAAAAGGAAGAGAAAGUGGGCCUGUACCCCAAUGGAUAGUUGAGUCAAGGAAUGGGGUGGGGGUGACACACACACCCCUUUCUUUUUCUUUCUUCUUCCAUUUCAGUGGUACAAGAUGCCCGAGGAGGACAAGAGUGACGGCCAGGAGGGACAAAAAGGCAGAAAUUUUCCUGCAAGAUUUGAAGGAUUCAUAAAGAUAGGAAUGUUUGGAACAAGGAAGAAGAAGAAAAUUGGAAACUUUGAAGGCUGGAUGGGAGUUUCACAAGCAGCAUUAGAGGCUGUUCCAGGCACAAAGAACUGUACAAAUCAGGACCAAAUCAAAAACCGAGCUCACGGGCAUUGAGUUGAUGCCUACGCAUAGCCGCUGUAGGACAAGUACCCACUUACCCCCUGAGGUUCUAGAGCUCCUACUAUUUGGACAUUUGAUUGACUCAAGCAAUGAAGAGUGGGGCAGCAGUCUCUUCAUUCCAGCCAUUUACAAGGUGAGAAUUAGCCUUUGCUUCUCUGGUUAUUUAUUACUACAGUUUUUAUUCACAAGGCAGCAGAGUUUCAGAAAGAAGGCAAAUUAGGUACGAGUGAAAAUGAAAGGAAGAAGAAAUGUGUGCCUUAAACCGGUGUUUUUGCAAAGUUUUUUUGGCUGUGACUCCCCAUAAAAAAUACAUUGUACAUUUCAACCCCAAACAUGCCAACACACCCAGCACCCCUCUAAAGCAAGUGUCUUAAAGAAAUUUUUUUGAGUCUUAAAAAUUAUUACCAAAAAAAAAAUGUUUACUCUUAGCUUCAUGCAAUGCAUGCUGAAAUAUCUAACUUAUUGUUUGUAUUUGUUUUAAAAUAUGGUCAGGACCAACCACGUUGAUUUUAUGGUCCAAAAUUGGGUCAUGUUGAUAUGGGAUUGGGCUGUGCUUCAUUCCAUUGUACACAGGGUCGCAACGUCUCAGAAUGGCCUUCCUUGACAGCACCCAACACCCACAACAUUGGGUCACAACCUGCCUUAGAGAGGCUAGACUAUUCCCUGCUAUGUUUGCAGUUCUUGUUUUGAAUAGACAAACAGCCUGUGACCUCAAGCUUGCCAUGUUUACAUGUCCCAGAAAUCAACAGGAUAGGCAAGACUCUCCCAGGAUGUGGUGGGGGAAGGGAUGAGCAGAACAAUGUUUGUUCCUAACUCAUUCUCAGUAAAUAUUUCCUAAUAUCAGUAUUUCCCAGGAGCCAUAAAUGUUUUCUCCCUUGUCCAGCUUGAGAUAAAGAUUGGACUUCAAAGAAAGCUAAACUACAGCCCCUAGACCAGCAACAACAGAAUCAAGGACUAAAAUACAAAAUAAAAUCCUAUCUUGAUGGUGACAGUUAUCCUGUGAUAAUACAUACAAGUUGGAGUUUUAUAAGGGCAAUAAAUACCAUUCCUUCUUUAAAAAAACCCAGCAACAAUAAUUACACGAAUAACAAUGAGC